AGAAGAAGAAGAAGAAGAAGAAGACAAGGAAAGAAGGGCUGCUGUUCAUGUAUUUUUGGGGCUGCAACUACGUGUUUUCUCUGCUCCUGCUGUGCUCUCUUGCUGGUGUUAUUAAGAUGCUGCUGUUGCUGUAGAAAAAGAUGCAUGCAAGGCAAGAUGAGAGGUGCAAGGGGCUGUCCACGCUGAAAUCUUGUUGAAAUUUUAUUGCAUAUAUUGAGCUGCGGCUGUACCUGUUCAGAGAGGGAAAUUGAAUCACAGUGCGGGAAUCUAUGCAACUCAGAGAAGUCACUUGUCUGACCUUGACUACCAAGAUGCCCAGGCCACAUCCCUUGUGGCAUACUAUUUUCAGAUGAUGGAAACCGGUGCUGAGGUGGGAUUGGACUUUAGUAGCGGUUGUGACGCUUAUGUCGGCGAGAUGUCAGGAUUUUGAUGAGCUUCACUAUUUUUUAGUUCCUUCUUCUUGAUGUAUAUAUUUAUGGAUGUGUAGUGAGUAGUAUUGUAGCCUUUGGUUGUUUUCAAACACGCAAAUUGUAUAAUGUAAUUUAUCACUUUAGUACAUCAGCAGUGAUAUUUAUGCGACU
Molecule: long non-coding RNA, 581 nt
Organism: Macadamia integrifolia
Lineage: Eukaryota; Viridiplantae; Streptophyta; Magnoliopsida; Proteales; Proteaceae
Exons: 3
Source: RefSeq, a predicted model, not a curated record